RNAcentral lists this long non-coding RNA (583 nucleotides) under Homo sapiens (human). RNAcentral describes it as "non-protein coding lnc-LPAR3-1:1". The record is from RNAcentral. Lineage: Eukaryota; Metazoa; Chordata; Mammalia; Primates; Hominidae.
GUUCUGGGACUGACAGAUUGAUUCAUCAUUGUAAAUAUCAGUUCUUGGAUCUGAGCUAGCAAUGUGGGAGAGUUUUAUUUUAGCAAAGGUGGGCUUGGUUUGUUGACAAAAGAGCAAUUUCUCAUGCCUUAUAAAUAAGGUAACAACAUUGUGUACUUUCUAAAGAAAUUCCAACAGAAUGGGUUUCCUGAAACGGAUUUGCAGGAAUUCCUGAAGGAAUGCAGUAGCAAAGAAGAGUAUCAGAAAGAGUCCUCAGCCUUCCUGUCCUGCAUCUGCUGUCGGAGGAGGAAAAGAAGUGAUGAUCACUUGAUACCUAUUAGCUAAAGUUCUGCUAAAGAUGAUUAAAGUUCAGGCAUCCUUAUCCAGCGGCUGAGCAGAGGAACCCCAAAUGACUUGGACAAGCAGUUCCAAAAUGACUCUCUUAUUUAAUUGUGGAGUGGGAAAGAGGACUCACAGUUAGCCAGCUGACCAUGACUGAAGUUCCAGCUUUACUUUUUAUAAACUUGAAUGAUAAAGAAUAGACCAUGGGCUACUACUGGGCAUUAGUGCAAUAUAACAGCGAUAAUAAAAUUCUCUAUUAGUC